GAUGAACGCUGGCGGCGUGCUUAACACAUGCAAGUCGAACGAAGCAUUUGCGACAGAUUUUUUCGGAGUGAAGUUGCUUAUGACUGAGUGGCGGACGGGUGAGUAACGCGUGGGUAACCUGCCUUGUACUGGGGGAUAGCAGCUGGAAACGGCUGGUAAUACCGCAUAAGCGCACAAUGUUGCAUGACAUGGUGUGAAGAACUCCGGUGGUAUAAGAUGGACCCGCGUCUGAUUAGCUAGUUGGUGAGAUAACAGCCCACCAAGGCGACGAUCAGUAGCCGACCUGAGAGGGUGACCGGCCACAUUGGGACUGAGACACGGCCCAGACUCCUACGGGAGGCAGCAGUGGGGAAUAUUGCACAAUGGAGGAAACUCUGAUGCAGCGACGCCGCGUGAGUGAAGAAGUAAUUCGUUAUGUAAAGCUCUAUCAGCAGGGAAGAUAGUGACGGUACCUGACUAAGAAGCUCCGGCUAAAUACGUG
RNAcentral lists this ribosomal RNA (481 nucleotides) under uncultured bacterium. RNAcentral describes it as "partial 16S ribosomal RNA". It matches the Rfam family "Bacterial small subunit ribosomal RNA", at positions 28 to 507 of the family's 1533-position model. The record is from RNAcentral.